ACAAACUCUCAAAUCGACAUUGACAUUUACACCAACUCUGUUCUGGACCACAUCAACAGAUGUGUGAGCAGAGUGACCACACACACACACAAAAAAAAUAUUUUCCCCAAUCAGAAGCCCUGGAUGAACAGUGAGGUUCGCCUCACUGCAGGUUCGACUGCUCAAAGCAAAAGAUGUUGUCUUCAGGUCUGGAGACCGGGAGGCUUACAGCUCAGCCAGAGCCAACCUGAGGAAGGGUAUCUGCCAGGCCAAACUCAAACAGAGGAUUGAAGAACAAUUCUUCAGACCCCCAGCAUAUGUGGCAAGGCAUACAAUCUAUCACAGAUUACAAACCACCUAACACUGUGCCCCCUCCAGCCCUGCCUCCCUCCCUGAUGUUCUCUAUCACUUUUAUGCUCAUUUUGAUCAAAAUAAUAAGGAUAUCUCACUCAAAGCUGAGCAUCAACCCAGUGAACUGCCUCUCACACUCUCCACAUCAGAUGUUUACUCCACUCUGUGUAAGAUGAAUGCACGGAAAGCAGCUGGCCCUGACGGAAUACCGGGUAGUGUGCUUAAAGCCUGUGCGGAGCAGCUGGCUGAGAUCUUCACGGACAUUUUCAAUCUGUCCCUGCCCGAACAACUGUCCCCACUAGCUUCAAAACCUCCACCAUCGUGCCAGUACUCCACUGCCUCGGUCCCUAACGACUUCCGUCCUGUUGCACUCACCCCCAUCAUUGCCAAGUGCUUUUAGAAACUGUUUGCAUCCCACUUAAAAUCCUGUCUCCCUGCUACAUUAGACCCAUUCCAAUUUGACUGUUGCCACAAUAGGUCAACAGAGGACGCCAUGUCAAUGACACUUCACUCUGCCCUCACCCACUUGGACAGUCAGAGCACACAUGUGAGAUUGCUGUUCAUUGAUUUCAGUUCUGCAUUUAAUACGGUAAUCCCCUCCAAAUUGAUCCUCAAACUCAGCCAGCUUGGAAUCAGCACACCCAUCUGCAAUUGGAUUCUAGAUUUUCUGACUAACAGACCUCAAUCUGUUAAGUUAGAUAACCUCUCAUCCUCCAUCAUCACCCUCAGGGCUGCGUAAUGAGCCCUCUCCUGUAAUCCCUAUUCACCUAUGACUGCGUUCCUGUUUAUGGCUCCAACACCAUAAUCAAAUUUGCAGAUGACACAACGGUGUCAUGGUCUGAUCAAGGAUGAAGAUGAGUCAGCCUACAGGGAUGAGGUGCAGCACCUGGCUGUGUGGUAUGCCACCUGCAAUCUGGAACUAAACACCCAGAAGACAAAGGAGAUCAUUGUGGACUUCAGGCGGACUAGGAAUCAUGCACACACCCCCAUCUACAUCAACGGAGCUGUAAUGGUGUGUGUGUCGAGUUUCAAGUUCCUUAGCAUCCACAUCUCUGAUGGCCUCACCUGGUCCCCAACACCUUCACCCUGGUCAAAAAGGCACAGCAGUGACUUUACUUCUUAGGGAGCGUUAAUAAAGUUAACCUGCAUCCCAGGAUCUUUGUGGAAUUCUACGGCUGUACCAUUGAGAGCAUUCUCACAAACUGCAUCUCAGUAUGAUACAGCAAUUGCUUCGCAUCUGACUGCAAAGCACUCCAGCAGGUGGUGAAAACUGCUCAACGGAUCAUCGGCACCCAGUUAACUUCCUUUGAGAACAUUUAUCACAAGCGCUGUCUGGGUAGGGCAAGAAACAUCAUCAAGAUGCCUCUCAUCCUAACCAUGGACUCUUCACCCUCCUUCCAUCCGGCAGGUGUUACAGAAGCCUACGCUCUCGCACUAGUAAGCUCAGGAAGAGCUUCUUCCCCGAGGCUGUGACACCUCUGAACGCCACACCACCAAUCUAACCUGCACUGGACACAGUACUUUACAUACAUGUUGUUCUGUGCAGUAUUAGUUUUUUCUUUAGUUUCAUUUUGGAUUGUAUAAGUAGUUCAUGUGUGACACCUUGUGGUGAAAAUCGUUAUUACAAUACUCAGUAGAACGCAACAGGAAGCACGUAAAACAAUAGAAGAAGAGUCGUUUUCUGUUAUCUGCGUAUGCUGUCUAAUCCUUGGAGUAGAUACGACCUUUUACAGUAAAGUAAAGUGUGCAUCACAAAAGCACAACGAAGAACGUGUGAUGAAGCUUUAUUCCUGUUAGCUUCUGUCAGUCUUUGGUUCAGAACACCAUUGCCAGGGCAGAAUACAUGUAUUUGCGCUACUCAUAUUUUGCACAGACUGCACACUGUUCUUGCUAUUACUGUAAACUGUCUAAAGUUGUUACUGUACAAAGCACAGUAAACUAUUUCUAUAAAAAAUAUCAUUGCACUACUGUUAUUUUGCAUAGACCACAUUGUUUAACGAUACUAUUGCACACUCAUCCAACUGUAUUUAUUACCACUGUUCUCACGUUGCUGCUGCUCAUAAUGUGUAUAUAUAAUCCUACAUUGCUCUGUUCAUAAUGUACAUACAAUACCUACAUUGCAUUCCUAUUUAUAUUCUGUAUAUACUCUGAUCAAUAUUGUAUAUAGCAACUACACUGUACAUUCUGUAUGUCAUAGCUUCACUUACUCUGCACUUUAUCUAUUUAAAAUGGUAUAUGCUUCUGGUUAGAUGGUAACUGCAUUUAAUUAGAUCUGUACUUGUACUCUGCAUAAUGACAAUAAAGUUGAAUCUAAUCUAA
Molecule: long non-coding RNA, 2649 nt
Organism: Carassius gibelio (silver crucian carp)
Lineage: Eukaryota; Metazoa; Chordata; Actinopteri; Cypriniformes; Cyprinidae
Exons: 2
Source: RefSeq, a predicted model, not a curated record